Long non-coding RNA from Dromaius novaehollandiae (emu), 4902 nucleotides. RefSeq lists it as uncharacterized. Lineage: Eukaryota; Metazoa; Chordata; Aves; Casuariiformes; Dromaiidae. The transcript is spliced from 4 exons. The record is from RefSeq and is a predicted model, not a curated record.
CGUUCUAUUAGUCUAAUCUAUGGAGGUGUUUUAGUCUCAAACAAUAAUUCGUAGGACUGCUCUGUUUCCUUUUAUCAGCUCAGAUACCUGCCUACAGAUAUCUGUUAAAUUCAAUCAUAAAAUAGUUUCCAUCAAAAGUUACUUAAUUCUUUGCUGUCCUCAUGACAGAUCACCAAUCAAAGUCUGAUGUCUUGGUUUUUUUAGUAUAAUUUAUUUAUUUUUAUCUAACAAUGACACAUGCUUUACAGAGCAUGGGGAAAAUGUUACUUAGGGUAUACAUGAAAGUUUAAUACAUUAUGGUGGAGUUCAUUGUGGAAUACAUUAUGGUGCAGUUCAAAAAAAGAAAGUAGAUGCUUUCUGGCAAUUGCAUAAUUUAAGCAAUUUAUUGCACACUGCAUUGCUAAUCUAGUCAGGAUAGAAAUAAAGCUACCCUAGCAUAUGCUGUUAGUUUCAUUGUUGCAAAUAGAGCAAAAAUAGCAAAUUAUCUUAAAGUGAAAAUAUUCAGUUCAUAGAGCUCCUUCAGCUGCCACAUCCCAAAAUGCAGAUAUUAAUAGGCUUUUCUAUCAACUGUACGGUAUGUCAGAGACCUAAAAAUAUUUCCUACAAAAAUUCAAACUCAAGUGUCCCCUAACAACAUCUAGUGAAUCUAGUUUAAAAAAAAUCUUGAAUUAGAUUUAAUAUUUUAAGAUCUAAAAUUUUAUUGAUGGUACUUUUAUUUAAACCUGGCUGCAUCUGUUUUAUGGGAACACAGUAUUAACUGCAAUACAACAUUGUACCUAUCAUGCUCAGUGACUAUACUAGUGUUGCUGCUUAACAAGCACUGACUAGUGAACCUUUAUGCUCUGGUUAAUAUUUUUACAUCAGUUUAGACACUUUGAAGUUUAAAUCCAACUGACAUUUUAGUAAGCUUUUAAGUGUGUACCUUUAUUUCUAGAAAGUAGACCUAGAUAUGAAAAAUUCUACUUACAAGCAUCAGCGUGAGGCACUUCAUCUGAAGGCACUCCUCAGUACCCCAGUUUUAUGAAGCUGAGAUCUCCUUCCCUGCAUGUGAUCUCAACCACUGCAACAGGCAUGUACAAACAAAAUUGGGAUUGUAGGGCAGUUCCCUCAAGCAUGCUGUCUUUUCUCAGGAAAGCUACAGAACAGUUGUCCAGUAAGUGAAUAUUUUGCUGGAGAGACCUUCUUCUCCGGUUUUAAAGAGCUAGGUACUGAAGCCUGAGUCACUGCCAUUAUCACAUUCACAUGGUAGAAGGAUUUGGACAGGAACUGAACUGCUUAAACUAGAGCUAGAAGCUUGAUCCUCAAGAGUAGUCCCAAAAUGGAAGUCAAAUUCCCAUAGUCAGUAGCUCCCUAUUAGGUCAAAUAAAGUAAAAUAAACUGAAAAGAGUAAAAACUAAUACCCUUGGAUGAGCACUUCAAAACUGAAAGUGAAUAUAUAUAAACGGUAGCAGAGGAUCAGGCUGACAGAGAACCUGCAGAUGCUUCACUACUUUAGUAGUGGUUGUGGAUUCUGUUGAGGAACAGCAUGUUGAACAGAAUAGCAAGUCCAAUAUGCCUGAUUAUGGAAGGCCAAUCUAGCUAACAUUAAUGCUGCUUAUCAGUUAAUAACCGAUAUUAUAUAGAAAGCAUGAGGCUUACAAAACUGUUGUAGAGCUCCCACAUUUGUAAGAGGAGGACUUGAUACUCUUAUAUCUGUUAUUCUAUAUCAACAUUUAUGCUGAAGGGGAUUUUUUAAAUUACUGUUUUGAGACAGUGACAUUUUAUAUCUAUUUCAUAAUCAUUUAUAGGAUUACACAAAGUACAAGGUCAUGGGGAAUUAAGUUUUAUUUAUCUAAUAUAUUACUUUAGCCAAUUUACAAGAUGUUUUUACAGGUGCUUUGAUACCUAUACUAGUAUUCCUCCUUCAUAUUUUUGCAUGCAAACAUCAAAAAUUACCUCAAAACCCAAGUUCCCCAGUGAAAAACUAUGAUGCAAAGGCUCAGGUUCUCUCAAUCUUCAACUUUAUUACAAAGUGGCAAAAAUGUUAAGAAAAUUUUUGGAAAACUCUGAGCUAUGCUUGAGUCUAUAGCUAAAACACCAAGAUUUUUUUUCUUCCUUUCAUGUUUUAUAAUUCUAGCUAGGAAAUAUUUUAUGCCAUUCCAACAUUCUUUUAAAUUUAAUUUUAAAUUUAUUUGUUAUACGUGGAGUUAUACUGUAAAAAAUACCAUCCAGAGAACAACACAAGAAUGUUAGGUUUCUAUCAGUAUCAAUACAUUUUUGCGUCAGGUAGAACCUAAAGCCAGAUUUUAAGGAAUCCUGUAUUUCUGUAAUUGGACAGUUGUCAUAUGCUCCAUAAUUUUCAUUGAAAUAUGUCUUAAUUUCAUUGUGUAAUUUUCAUAUUUGUACUGGUAACUUUUACAAAAGCAUGUCUUAUACUAAACAGUACUAUAUUUCACGCUUGUCAUUUAGAUUCUUGUCAGUGUUGUAAUAUAGAAGAGCUAAUGGCAUAUGCCAUUCUGAAUACUUCAUCUAUGUUCUUGUCUUUCAGAACUUAAGGAAAGUUAAAUAUAGGUUUGAAAGAACUUUUUUAUGUUGCUAUAAUUAAAUAUCUAUCAGUAUUUCUGUGAUGAUCAUCUGUUACCCUGACCUUAUGAAAUAUGAGGGCUUCUCCCACAUUUGGUUAAAAUUUGGCCACUCUUUGAAGAUAUAACUUCAAGUGGUUGUGUCCACUUAUCUUACCAGUUCAGGAAUUAAAGAGGUAAUGGUCUUUUUCUCAUUAACUUCUCAUUUAGAACAAGCCCUGUAAGCUACAGGUAUACUGGCACAUUUAAUUACCAUUCUCUGGUAUCCAGAGCAAAUAGCUUAGAACGGUCUGGAUUCAUACUACUAAACUCUCUUACAUCCCAAACUAGAGUAGUCCCAUGUAAAUCGUCUACUGGGAACAUACUCUAACCUAUGCUAACUUCCAAAACAUGCCUAAGAACUGGGAGAGAGGUAGUUGGUCUAGGCCAAAACAUGAUAGAUACUGUUCUAGCAAUGGAACAGUACUGUACCAAAAAAUCAAGUUUCAGUGCCAAGAAGCGCAUCCUGACUCUGUUUAAUUUACUAGCAUAAAUAUAACUUUAGGUGAAAUUCUUACUAUCCCAUUGAUUCUGAAGGCAUUCUUUUCCUCUUUCUCCAGAAGCAUCUAAUAAGAACAUCCUCCUCUGUACCUGACACGUGCCUUAAAAAAAAAAAAAGCCUACUUCAAUAUUGAGUGUUCAGAUGAAGCACCUUUCCUGGAUAAUUUAGAUACAGUCAUCACCUCAGUAUUACCUUUUUUGCGUUGUUCCAUUCUCACUAUUACAUCCUAUUCCACUAGUAUAUUUGUUGAUUAUCUUUCCUAUAACAAGUAAUUUGUGACUUCAGUAAUUGAGACACAACAAUGUAUUGUAAUAGAAGGGGUUUUUAUGUGUGUAACAGUAAUGGAGAUCUACAUUAAAUUGGACUUGCUGUGAGGCUUUUUUAAAUCUCUUUAUUAAGUUAUAUAUUGAAAUGUUGUAAUAUGAUCUUUGUUUACAGAACUGCUAGGUUAUUAUAGAAAUGCAGGUUAUUGUGACACAUACCACAGUGAAGAUCAAACAGUGUAACCUGGAGAGACAGACCACUGCGUUUCUCUGCUUAAGCAUGGACUUCAGUUAAUCAGUGCCCAGGAGUAUCAUGAUGUUGCUUUGUGUAUGGAUUUAAUUUUAGGAAGAAAAUUUAUUCCAAGAUGCUGGAAAAUGACAGAAAGCUCAAUAAAUAGGAGAGAAAAAUGAAGCCUGUAAACAGUUGUUGUUCUAUCCUUCCCUCACCUUUAAGGAUGAAGAAACAUAGCAGAGAUUAUGGUGAUCCACACUGUAUUAUAAGGAAUAGAUGUGAAGAAAGAAGAUCAGGCUUAAAAAGGAUUUAGUCUGGCAUGGCAGCAAGUACUCAGGAAUGUCAGGAAAUAAGAACGGAAGUAAAAAAACUACGUGGCUAGCAGGUGUUAACCCUCUGCAUACAGUAGCUAUCAAGGGUGAUACAUGCCUGGGUAAGGAAUCCCCACCCAAAUAACUUUUGUGCAAAACUUCAGUGCUUCAAGCUGACAGAGUUAGUUACACAAACAAGCAUGUAGGCUUCCUUAUGCUAUUAUUUUCAGUAUUAUGCCUCCUCCCAAGACUGAACCAAAAGAUAUCUUUACCUUGAUAAAAUGACGAAAGUAACUCUCAUCAUUUUCACAAAAGUCAUACUACAAAAAAAAGCCAUGUAGCCAUAGAUAAGAGAUGAAAUGAACCUGCAUUCUUCUGUGUUACUGGAAACCAGAGCAAUAUACAUUCUAUGAAACUGAGAUGCCACUUAGGAAAUAAUAAUCUAACAUAUUUGAACAAAAAUCCUAUCAAAUGGUUUAAUAAUACUGCCCUACUCUGCAAAUGGAAAACUGAAGUAGAGAGGGAAAAGGUUACUCUCCUACUAUGCUGGAACAGCAAUGGAUGUGUUUCAGCUUCUGGCCAUAUGGCUGCUUCACAGACCAUCUUUGGACUUACUAUUUGAGCAUUUUUGGCAGCACAUUAGUAGCACAAUGUCCAUCUAGCUCUGCAUUUUAAAUCCCUAAAACCAAGCCAAAACGCAGACACACACAUAUACUCAGCUAAGAAUAAUCAUAUAAAAUAUCAGGGGAAAUAUUUGUAAUCGCUGUUAGAAACAGAAACAGUCAUUACCAUGUAGGUGUUGCAGCCUUUUCCUUUGCAUCUUUACCAAUACUUCUUAGAAACUUCUAUUGCUCUGGCAAUGAUCCCAUUGAAACCAAAUUAUUUGCUAUUUAGUGUGGAUAAGGGUGGCAGAAUUUGUCUCAUUCUUACUACUUACUACUAUGAUCCAGCAAUACGUGCUUCUGAUAUUACCAUGUAUUGUAAAAGCAAACUU